Molecule: ribosomal RNA, 196 nt
Filed under: uncultured bacterium
Lineage: Bacteria
Description: partial 16S ribosomal RNA
Rfam family: Bacterial small subunit ribosomal RNA
Source: RNAcentral
UCGGAUUGUAGGCUGCAACUCGCCUACAUGAAGUCGGAGUUGCUAGUAAUCGCGGAUCAGAAUGCCGCGGUGAAUGCGUUCCCGGGUCUUGUACACACCGCCCGUCACACCAUGGAAGUUGGGGCGCCCGAAGUUGCCUAAGAAAUAAGGUACCUAAGGCGAAACCAAUGACUGGGUGAAGUCGUAACAAGGUACC